CCUGUGCCCACCUCAAGGGUUGGGAGAAGGGCGACCCGCGGGAGCGCCGCGAGGCGGCCACAGCCCACAGCCCUCCACGAGCCGGAGAACCGCCGCCGCGCCGUGCGCGAAGGCGCGGCGCCCGCGCUCGCCGCGCUCGCCGACUUUGCCGCCAUCGGCUCUGCCUGCUCCCCUGCGGGUGCAUCACGGCCUGAGGCGCCGGCGCUCCCCACCUGCGGAUUCACCGCCACCGCCGCCGCUCAUCUCCAAGAUCCGAGGGCGGUCGGAGUGGAGGUGCCCGUGGUUGACCCGUUGGUGAUGUGAUUAUUGGGUCAGGAACUUCUUUCUCCACUUCCGAGGACAAGAGGACUACAACAGGCCGAGGCCUCUUAGCUACAGAGGAUUACAUCAACACUGGUGAUGCUUCCAACAGUGGAGGUUUGGACUUUGCCCCUUGACAACAUAUCUGGGAGAGAGAUGUUUCUGCAUAGCCCAGCUGCUGACCAAUUCAUUGUUGACAGCUUGUAGUAGGCUAGCUAAGAGCAGACCAUCUUCAAAUGAAAUCCGAUACUUAUAUUCAUUGUUGACCAAUUUUCUAGUUUAUUUAGUUAAUCAUUGUUGACAGCUACUUUGUUUGCUAUUUAUUUGUGACGUGUGCUGGCUGGUACCAACAUGAUACGUAUAUUUGCUUUGUUGAGCCAUGCUGGCUUUGUACUA
This is a long non-coding RNA of Panicum virgatum (switchgrass), 696 nucleotides long. RefSeq lists it as uncharacterized. The record is from RefSeq and is a predicted model, not a curated record. The transcript has 4 exons. Lineage: Eukaryota; Viridiplantae; Streptophyta; Magnoliopsida; Poales; Poaceae.